Canis lupus familiaris (dog) is the source of this 5397-nucleotide long non-coding RNA. RefSeq lists it as uncharacterized. The transcript has 4 exons. The record is from RefSeq and is a predicted model, not a curated record. Lineage: Eukaryota; Metazoa; Chordata; Mammalia; Carnivora; Canidae.
GGGCCCGGAGGCGGGCAGGACAGGAGGCCAGACCAGACUGCCCAGGGAGACAGCCAUCAAGGCAGGCUGUGUAUGGGCUCGUGGCACAUAGAGACCUUCCCUGGAGAGCCGUUUUUGCACAAGGGGGUCAUUUGUGUCUCAGCUCAGUGGGGUCAGCAGGAUCCAGAGAAACAGUCCGUGCUGGUCCUCAGGAGGCGGCAAGGGGGCAUAUAUGAACUAAGGGCUAAACUGGUCCCAGUGUUUUAUGCAACUUUAGCUCCCAGGACACUCGGCCUUCUCACUGCAAAAUGGGGAGAACCUGUUCCUGCCCCCCCGGGGCUACAUGAAGACCAAGUGAACCAGCACGGGCCCAGGAAACUGUUCUGGAAGCUGGCAGGUGGAGGAGGCCCCGCCUGGGCCCUGCCGCCCGUGCUGCCCAGGCCCCCGCACCUCCUCCCGGGCGUCCCCAGCCCGCACAGCCUGUGCCCACUCGCACUGGGCACCGAGUCAGAGCCUGAGUCAUGGGCUGUUUCCACCAGCGAGGAAGCUCUCCUUGGCACACGCCAUCCAGCUACUCAGCAGGCGACCCUGCGUGGGGGCGGCAUCUGCCACCAAGGGACCCGUGUUACCGUGAAGCCUGGUGAUCCGGGUAGGAAAGCUCCAACUGCUGCCGGGAGAGCUACAAGUCCCAGGGGGCUGUGCACAUCCCCGGGCUCAGAGGUGCGUCUCAGUGAUCUCUUUCAGGGAUCAGGGACGUGGCAAGGUGGCCAGGUCCGCCUCCCGGGCUCUGCGCACAGUCGGGAGCCCUAGUCAGCUGGGCUCUGGGAUCAGCCUGCCCCGUGUUUGAACGCCCGCCCUCCUGCGCACCUGCUGCGGUGCCUGCCGGGCUCCCCAGGGGCGAAGGACCAAAGGAGAACAAACACCUGCCCUCGAGGGAGAGGUAGCCCGGCCGCCUGCAGUUCUGCCUCCCACAGGUGUCACUCUUUGGGGCUCCACCUUCCCGGCUGCUCCUGGCACCCCCCAACCGGACCCCGGCAGCCCCCUGGGGCCCAAGCUCCACCUUCCCGGCUCCGAAGGGGAUCAGGUGCCCCAGAGAGAGAAUGCUGAGCGCACAGCCCAUUAGGGCUGCAGAGAAAUGGUCUCGGGCUGAAUGCGAUUAGCCUCCCCAGGGCGCAGCACUUCUCCCUCGUGUGCCUCCCACACCCGGGCCAGACACCCCGCAUCCGAGAAAGCAGGCCCUGCUCCUCCUGCCAGAGCUGGCUUCCAGCCUUGACAGAUUUCACAGCCAAGGUCUCUUUCCUGAAACUCCGCUGCUUCAACCCAUUACUCGUCAUUAUCCCCUGAACGGCGCCUGCAAAGCUUCUCCUCCACAGCUGUGCCCUUAGAGCCCCGCAAAGGAACUCACUACUUGGCUAAGGACAGGCCACCGGUGUCCUUAAUCUGGCCUCAUAAAUGAGCCACGUGGGCACCCCCAGGCUACGCCCACUGCUCCCCCAGCCCUUGAGUCCUCUGGGUACUUCUUGGGCAGCGCCAGAAGCUCCAGCCUUUCCAGGCAGUGGGUGGGUGGGGAGUCCUGCUCCCCCAGUGUGCCCAGCACCAUCCUCCCUCCUCCUCGGCAGGCGAGGGGCUCCCAGCUGCUCCUACAGGAGUCCCGCCAGCCAGCAGCCUGGCAGCUGCUGCUCCUGUCAGCAGGGCCUUCUCCUGGAACGGGGACAUCUUAAGCUUGUUGGGAUCAAUUGCCCGUGGCGUUCCACUUAAUCCCCCUGCCAGGUAACUGACAGCUUUAGUGGCGAGGAGGAGCAAGGAGGGCUUUCUCAGGACCCUAUCCCAACCCCUAAGGGAGAUGGGAGCAGGGUGCACGGCAGGUCUGGAGCCAGAGGGGGAGUUAGAAGCAUUCCAGGGCCAAAGCCCCCAUAUUUAGACAUAGUCCCUGGGCUGUAGCCCCUGGGGGGCCCCACUUGUCCCACGCCAGGGGCAGCAGGACCACCUAAGGUCCAGGGCCAGGCCGGACACACAGGCAGCACUCAGGAAGGCCUACUAGGAGGAAGAGGAGAUGCAGUAACUCGAGCGAAGAGAAAAGGUAACAAUGAAAACACAGUCCUUGCUUGAUGAGAUAUGCAUGCCGGAAGGCUUCCCGGAGGAGGCGUGUUAGCCCUGCCACAGACUGGAGCGAGACUUGGAGACCCCUGGGCCAGAGCAGUGCUCCUCAAACUUUGGUCUGAGCCAAGCAACACCGGAGAACUUGCUGGAAAUGCGGAUUCUCUGAACGCAUCAGCCACUCUGGGGUGGGGCCUCGGGCACCCCGCCGGUGACAAGCCCUCCAGAUGAUUCGAUUCGCAUGCGUGGCUUGGGCUGACUGUGACUCAUCGUGGAUUGUCUGCUCCUGUGUUUUUGUGGUUGGAGACCACAGCCUGAGGCUGCGCGUCGGGGGACCCAGGAGGACCCAGGAGAGGAGAGUGUGCCCCGGCCGUGUGCAGGGGCAUCUGCCAACCCAACACCACUGUAGGCUCCUUCACUGGCUUGGGGUUCUCUGGACCACUCCGUUGACAAGUUUGAAGCCCGAUCUCCAGUGAAGGUCACCCUGAGUUGGCACAUUCUCAGGAAGGAAUGGGUGUAUCCCCAUUCAUUGCAGACGCCAGGACAAAUCAGGCCCCUGAGAACCUCCCACAUGAUCCUCAGGGUGAUGAUGGCAGAGCCACACGAUCGAUGCGCCUGCAGUCCCAAUCACUGCCGGAAGAACCGUCUACCACCGCAGACGCUGCGUGAGCAGGACUGAGGGGCUUACCCAGUGCAGCAGCUGGCAUUACUUCACUAAACACCACUCCACCGUGGUGCCAGAAUUAAAGCCCCACUCAUAAUUGUUCCACAGCUCACCAUUAUACACAUAAUCUUUUCAGGGCUUAGGGACUUAAAGGGUUCUCAUCUGGCCUGGCUCCCGGGAGGCAGGACUGCCUAUCAGGGAGGCGGAGGGGCUCACUGGCAUGGCAGACGGGAGAGUGGCCUGAUGCUCCUUCCCUGCCCUGCCUUAUCAGCACUGGCCCCCGAAUCCACUUAGAUGUGGCCCUGCUUUCAAGGAAGCCCUGGGUAUUGAGGAUGUAGAGGCAGACACAGGGGACCUUGGGACAAGGAGAUGACAGGUGCAGCGGGGCCGACGGCGGGGGCAGUGGCCACUCAGGCACCAGCCUGUUCAGGCUGAGGUCUAGGGUCUGCUGGGCUGGACCAGCUGUACCAACACGCUCACUGGGGACAAGAGAGCAAGGUGGGCCUUGCGCUUGGUGCAGACAAGUGGGACUCUGGGCGCAGCCUGGCCCACCUGGCAGGGGGGUGCCCAGCUGGCAGCGCUUCGAGGCCCACCCUGUGCUGGAAAACCUCAUGUCCACAGAUGAGGAGUCCUUGGGCCAUCCACUGUGCAGACGUGUCCUCAAGAGGCCACGAAACUCGACUCACCGCAGAGUCUUCUCCCAGGAACAAGAGCCGGCAACUGGCAACACUCCCCAGGUCGGGGUCUACCGUGACAAGGCUGGCCAAAGGACAGGCCUCUGGACCCCUGCCCUCGACAGGUCACAACCUCUAGGGACAAAGGAAGGGGCCCUGCUGGGAACUGACAGGCUCGCUGUCCUCUCUCAUUGGCUGCCUGGCCUCCUUCACCAGACCAUGGUCCCCAGAGCUGCUCUGUCCCCAGAUUCUGAGGGGCAGUCCUGGUCUUUCUAGUCCUUUGGUCACUCUCUCAGGGGAUUUCGACAGCGAUACGAUGGCAACUCUGAGCACACUGGGUGCAGAGUAGCACAUGGGCCCGUGGAGUCCUUGCCUCACCCUAACUUCCUACAGCUGGACCAGCCCUCUGACCUGGAGGGGGACCUGCUUCGGGCACCGCACUGUGCUCCAGAGAAAAGCUGUUCCUCCUCUGGCUACCCCGGGGUGGAGCAGAGCCUCUGGGUUUUUAGGACUAAAGAGCCGUGGGAAAGCUGUGAGCACGGGUUAGCCCACGGAUUAGCUGUUAAGAACAUACUCAGAAGCCCACGGACACCUGGGAAGGGUAGUUUAUUUUCAUUUACAUUCUCCUUAUGACCCACGGAGCAAACCAGAAAGAACCCAGUCCUUAGGGAUGGCUCAUUGGGUUGGGAGUCCUGGCAGUGGGCCCUGGGCAGGUCACUUGGCCUCUCUGAGCCUCCAUUUCCUUGACCACAGAAGUGGGAUCAGUGACCCCCACUUCUCCAGGCCGACAUGAGGUCAAAGGGCCCAGAAGCCCCAGGGACACUGGAAGUGCACAACCAGCAUCCUGUCCCUUGUCCAGCUCUGCCUGGUAGGCCUCUUGUCCAGCCCUCUGUCCCUCCCUCUGCUUCCACCUGAAGAAGCUUGUCGGGACAUGGGACAUGUAAUGAAGAACGUUAUUCUGGGGGCGUGAGGUGCUGACUCCAGCUGUGGGGAGGAAUUUCAGGUGGGGGAGGCACCGGGGCCGGGGGCCGUACUAUCAUCCUCUCUUGCUUCCCCUAACUGGCUGAAACAGGGGCUCAAAUGCAUACGUGUGGGGCCGGGAGCACUCAGAGAAGCGUUACCUGUGCCUCACCGGUACUUGCAGGAGCAGGGGCCCAGAGGUCUUCCUCUCGGGCCAGGGCUGCGCAUGGAUGGACCCUCGUCCUUGAGAAAGGCAGGAUGGAGACGAGGCCCCGGGGAGCCCACUGGGGGCUGAAACAUCUUCACCUCCACACAUGGGAUCCGACCACGUGCGAGUGAGGCACCCAGGAGCCCCAGGCAGGCGUCCGAGCCACUGUCCGGGAAGAAAGGAGUCCAGCCUCUCCGGGAGGGCAGGCUGAGCCCAAUGGCACCUCCCAGCCUGGCAGCCACACCUGCUGUGCACCUGCUCUGGCGGAGGAAGCAGGGCACGGAGGUGAAGUCCACGCGCCUGAGAGUCCACAAGCUUCCUGCUGCUACAACACGGAGCCUGCGCCGAUAGAACCUCGACAAACUUAGCUACUGCUACCUGAUUUCACCCACAAGCCAGUUUGCAUCUCUGCAUCAGAGACUGGAAACUGAGGCACAGAGAGGCUGACAGAGCUCAACCCUUCUGAGCACUCAGACCUGGGGAAAUCCUAGCUCUGCCACUUGCUCACUGCAUGACCCCGACGGAGUGACCCCCUUCCCCCAUGCCUCAGCUUCCCCAUCUGUAAAUUCAGAUGCAUCAUUGCUUUCUUGUUGCACUGGCUUGAAGAAUAAAAUGAAACCAUGCCCGUGCAAGAGCCCCAUCGGGUGCCUCGCACAAAACCAACCUUGAUUAGAAUUACUAUCCAGGCACAAUGCUAUUAUUCUAAUUUUCUCCCACGAAGCACUCUGUAUUCGCUAAAUAAGUGAUUCCUUUUCCCCAACAUUUUAUUCUGAAAAUUCCAAACACACAGCAAAGCUGAAAGCAUUUCUAGUGAA